Non-coding RNA from Polyplosphaeria fusca, 83 nucleotides. NCBI's taxonomy places the organism in Eukaryota, Fungi, Ascomycota, Dothideomycetes, Pleosporales, Tetraplosphaeriaceae. The record is from the annotation of a GenBank genome assembly.
GCCGGUUUGGCGCAGUGGCAACGCGUCGCACUUGUAUGCUCAAUCAAAUGCGAAGAUCACUGGUUCAAUUCCAGUAAUCGGCA